Capsicum annuum is the source of this 584-nucleotide long non-coding RNA. RefSeq lists it as uncharacterized. The record is from RefSeq and is a predicted model, not a curated record. Lineage: Eukaryota; Viridiplantae; Streptophyta; Magnoliopsida; Solanales; Solanaceae. The transcript is spliced from 3 exons.
UAUUCAAUAUUCUGUUACUGAAUAUCCCUUUACCUCUUCUCAAACGCUGUUACAACAAUCCCAAGAGAAUUGGUUCAAUAAAAUAAGUCCACAUCUCCUCUCCCGAUAUCAAGUUUUUCAAUGUCUAGAGAUUACACUCUCUUGGAUGCGAACACCUAUCCAUGGCAGUAGCUUUAAUUUAACUGCUUUGUGCACUCACGGCUCGCAAAGAUGAGAAGGAUGAGUCUCACUAACCUGCCGAAUGCAUAGCAAGAGGGUAACCAUGGAUACUUGCUAGCAAACUAUGUCAUGUCAUGUCCUAUGCCCGGCAAGGUAUAGGAUGGCAUAGCUGAUCGGGCCGAGAUCAGACUUCAUGCGCUCACAUGAUGGUUUAUGACGGUUCACUAUUUUAUCCCACAAAUAAUCAAACGAAUUAAAUUUACCUAACCUGGUUAAUUACGAAUUUUGUUUAUAUUUUUGCUCCUUUCUAGUUGACUUCACUUAAAUUUAAAUUUGAUUUUCAUUUAUAAUCUCUUGUUGUAUUAUCCUCCUGAAAUGGUUUUAUGUACCAAUACAUUCACAUGUAUUGACAUUCUUUGGCGCUA